CGCGGAGUAGAGAAGCGGUAACUCAUUAGGCUCAUAACCUAAAGAUCGCAGGUUCGAGUCCUGCCUCCGCAA
RNAcentral lists this transfer RNA (72 nucleotides) under Caudoviricetes sp. Its description in RNAcentral is "tRNA-Met". It matches the Rfam family "tRNA". Rfam says of the family: Transfer RNA (tRNA) molecules are approximately 80 nucleotides in length. Their secondary structure includes four short double-helical elements and three loops (D, anti-codon, and T loops). Further hydrogen bonds mediate the characteristic L-shaped molecular structure. tRNAs have two regions of fundamental functional importance: the anti-codon, which is responsible for specific mRNA codon recognition, and the 3' end, to which the tRNAs corresponding amino acid is attached (by aminoacyl-tRNA synthetases). tRNAs cope with the degeneracy of the genetic code in two manners: having more than one tRNA (with a specific anti-codon) for a particular amino acid; and 'wobble' base-pairing, i.e. permitting non-standard base-pairing at the 3rd anti-codon position. Lineage: Duplodnaviria; Heunggongvirae; Uroviricota; Caudoviricetes. The record is from RNAcentral.